Molecule: ribosomal RNA, 253 nt
Filed under: uncultured bacterium
Lineage: Bacteria
Description: partial 16S ribosomal RNA
Rfam family: Bacterial small subunit ribosomal RNA
Source: RNAcentral
UACAGAGGUCUCAAGCGUUGUUCGGAUUCAUUGGGCGUAAAGGGUGUGUAGGUGGCGCCGUAAGUGGGGUGUGAAAUUUCGAGGCUUAACCUCGAAACUGCAUUCCAUACUGCGGUGCUAGAGGACUGGAGAGGAGACUGGAAUUUACGGUGUAGCAGUGAAAUGCGUAGAUAUCGUAAGGAAGACCAGUGGCGAAGGCGGCUCUCUGGGCAAUUCCUGACACUGAGACACGAAGGCCAGGGGAGCAAACGGG